UCUUGAGGCCCAAACGCUGC
RNAcentral lists this non-coding RNA (20 nucleotides) under Arabidopsis thaliana (thale cress). Lineage: Eukaryota; Viridiplantae; Streptophyta; Magnoliopsida; Brassicales; Brassicaceae. The record is from RNAcentral.